Non-coding RNA from Vitrella brassicaformis, 73 nucleotides. The record is from the annotation of a GenBank genome assembly. NCBI's taxonomy places the organism in Eukaryota, Vitrellaceae.
GCUUCGGUGGCACAGUGGAUAGCGCGAUCCCCCCCUAAGGGAUAGGUCGGUGUUUCGAACCCUCCCCGGAGUG